UCAAAAACAUGUCUUUUUAGUAUUUAUAAAAAGUCUAACCUGCCCACUGAUUAAUUUUAAAUGGCCGCAGUAUACUAACUGUGCAAAGGUAGCAUAAUAAUUAGUCUUUUAAUUGAAGGCUGGUAUGAAUGGUUGGACGAGAUAUUAACUGUUUCAAUUAAAUUUAUAAUAAAAUUUUAUUUUUUAGUCAAAAAGCUAAAAUGAAUUUAAAAGACGAGAAGACCCUAUAAAUCUUUAUAUUUAAAUUAUUAUAAUUUUGUAGAAGAUUUAUGUUAUAAUAAUAAAUAAUAUUUUAUUGGGGUGAUAUUAAAAUUUAAUAAACUUUUAAUUUUAAAAAUCAUUAAUUUAUGAAUAUUUGAUCCGUUAUUAACGAUUAAAAAAACAAGUUACUUUAGGGAUAACAGCGUAAUUUUUUUGGAGAGUUCAUAUCGAUAAAAAAGAUUGCGACCUCGAUGUUGGAUUAAGAUAUAAUUUUAGGUGUAGCUGCUUAGAUUUUAAGUCUGUUCGACUUUUAAAUUCUUACAUGAUCUGAGUUCAGACCGGCGUAAGCCAGGUUGGUUUCUAUCUUUAAAUAAUAAAAAUAUUUCAGUACGAAAGGACCUAAUAUUUAAUAAAUUAUUAUUUUUAUGUUGAAUAUAAUUAACAU
This 646-nucleotide ribosomal RNA is filed under the name Pollenia rudis. Its description in RNAcentral is "partial large subunit ribosomal RNA". It matches the Rfam family "Bacterial large subunit ribosomal RNA", at positions 1807 to 2792 of the family's 2925-position model. The record is from RNAcentral. Lineage: Eukaryota; Metazoa; Arthropoda; Insecta; Diptera; Polleniidae.